ACUUAAAUUGAAGAGUUUGAUCAUGGCUCAGAUUGAACGCUGGCGGCAGGCCUAACACAUGCAAGUCGAGCGGUAGCACAGAGAGCUUGCUCUCGGGUGACGAGCGGCGGACGGGGGAGUAAUGUCUGGGAAACUGCCUGAUGGAGGGGGAUAACUACUGGAAACGGUAGCUAAUACCGCAUAACGUCGCAAGACCAAAGUGGGGGACCUUCGGGCCUCAUGCCAUCAGAUGUGCCCAGAUGGGAUUAGCUAGUAGGUGGGGUAACGGCUCACCUAGGCGACGAUCCCUAGCUGGUCUGAGAGGAUGACCAGCCACACUGGAACUGAGACACGGUCCAGACUCCUACGGGAGGCAGCAGUGGGGAAUAUUGCACAAUGGGCGCAAGCCUGAUGCAGCCAUGCCGCGUGUGUGAAGAAGGCCUUCGGGUUGUAAAGCACUUUCAGCGGGGAGGAAGGCGUUAAGGUUAAUAACCUUGGCGAUUGACGUUACCCGCAGAAGAAGCACCGGCUAACUCCGUGCCAGCAGCCG
This 529-nucleotide ribosomal RNA is filed under the name Klebsiella pneumoniae. RNAcentral's name for it is "bacterial SSU rRNA". It matches the Rfam family "Bacterial small subunit ribosomal RNA", at positions 1 to 517 of the family's 1533-position model. The record is from RNAcentral. Lineage: Bacteria; Pseudomonadati; Pseudomonadota; Gammaproteobacteria; Enterobacterales; Enterobacteriaceae.